AAGGGUUUGAUCCUGGGCUCAGAUUGAACGCUGGCGGCAUGCUUUACACAUGCAAGUCGAACGGCAGCACGGGGGCAACCCUGGUGGCGAGUGGCGAACGGGUGAGUAAUGCAUCGGAACGUAUCCUUAAGUGGGGGAUAACGCACCGAAAGGUGUGCUAAUACCGCAUAAUCUCUACGGAGAAAAGCAGGGGAUCGCAAGACCUUGCGCUUUUGGAGCGGCCGAUGCCUGAUUAGCUAGUUGGUGAGGUAAAGGCUUACCAAGGCGUCGAUCAGUAGCUGGUCUGAGAGGACGACCAGCCACACUGGGACUGAGACACGGCCCAGACUCCUACNGGAGGCAGCAGUGGGGAAUUUUGGACAAUGGGGGAAACCCUGAUCCAGCCAUGCCGCGUGAGUGAAUAAGGCCUUCNGGUUUGUAAAGCUCUUUCAGCCGGAAC
Molecule: ribosomal RNA, 439 nt
Filed under: uncultured Pseudomonadota bacterium
Lineage: Bacteria; Pseudomonadati; Pseudomonadota
Description: bacterial SSU rRNA
Rfam family: Bacterial small subunit ribosomal RNA
Source: RNAcentral